GACGAACGCUGGCGGCGUGCCUAAUACAUGCAAGUCGAGCGGACGAAUCGAAAGCUUGCUUUUGAUUCGUUAGCGGCGGACGGGUGAGUAACACGUGGGCAACCUGCCCUGUAGACGGGGAUAACACCGAGAAAUCGGUGCUAAUACCGGAUAACACGAAAUGUCGCAUGACGUUUCGUUGAAAGACGGCGCACGCUGUCGCUACAGGAUGGUCCCGCGGCGCAUUAGCUAGUUGGUGAGGUAACGGCUCACCAAGGCGACGAUGCGUAGCCGACCUGAGAGGGUGAUCGGCCACACUGGGACUGAGACACGGCCCAGACUCCUACGGGAGGCAGCAGUAGGGAAUCUUCCGCAAUGGACGAAAGUCUGACGGAGCAACGCCGCGUGAGCGAAGAAGGCCUUCGGGUCGUAAAGCUCUGUUGUUAGGGAAGAACAAGUAACGCAGUAACUGGCGUUACCGUGACGGUACCUAACGAGAAAGCCACGGCUAACUACGUG
This 498-nucleotide ribosomal RNA is filed under the name uncultured bacterium. Its description in RNAcentral is "partial 16S ribosomal RNA". It matches the Rfam family "Bacterial small subunit ribosomal RNA", at positions 28 to 507 of the family's 1533-position model. The record is from RNAcentral.